Xiphophorus couchianus (Monterrey platyfish) is the source of this 248-nucleotide long non-coding RNA. RefSeq lists it as uncharacterized. The record is from RefSeq and is a predicted model, not a curated record. The transcript is spliced from 4 exons. Lineage: Eukaryota; Metazoa; Chordata; Actinopteri; Cyprinodontiformes; Poeciliidae.
CUUCAUUUUAGUGUUUGGGACGUUAUUCGAUGCCAAGAUCCGCUCUCUUGUUUUGCGACAAGUGCCUGCAUUAAGCUCUACUUCUAAUCGCACAAGGAGCACUAGUGCAGGAACUUCCUCCAGUAGAGCAGAAAACAUCAUAAACCGAAUUUUUCGGAGAAGGGGGGUGUACCAUGUUUCACAAGUUCCAAACACAAGCAGCAACACUGACUCCUCACAGUCAUACAGCAGUCUGCAGAUUUAAGCAC